This is a long non-coding RNA of Columba livia (rock pigeon), 655 nucleotides long. RefSeq lists it as uncharacterized. NCBI's taxonomy places the organism in Eukaryota, Metazoa, Chordata, Aves, Columbiformes, Columbidae. The transcript is spliced from 2 exons. The record is from RefSeq and is a predicted model, not a curated record.
CCGACACCCAAAAACCAGGGAGAGGUGCGGAGAGGAGCCACUGGAGCAGGGCAGGAGGAGGAGGAGGCACCGGGGACCUGCUCGCCCCGCGGCCGGGGUGCUGCCUUACUGCUGGUCCCAGAUGAUGAGGUGGAAGAGGGGUCGGGAUGCUGGAGGGACCCCAGGAUCAGACUGCGGGUCAGUGUCCCCGGGGCAAAGCGAGUGAGAGGGAGAAUUUCAGCUUUCCCAUUUACAACCACGGAAUCAUUUGGGUUAGAAAAGACCCUCAAAGUCACCAAGUCCAACCCAACUCUGGCACAAGACCGUGUCCCUGAGAACCUCGUCUAUACAUCUUUUAAACACAUUUUGCUGAGUUCAUGGGGAGGAACAACAGCCAUCGCCUCCAGAAACCCUCUUUUCUUCACCAGAACAGUUUCAAACACAUUUUUGGCCUUAAUAAUUGAAGGGGAGGGGUUUGAAGAUUAAAAAGCACCAAGAACUCAAGCCCAGAAGGGGAGGAGAAGAACAGAAAUACCUCGAUUUUCCCUCUUGGCCAGAACAUUUGGAUCCUGUUGAGGAAAAAAAACCCACAAGAGCACCAUCAGAAUGAGCCCCGCGCUGCGGGGGGGGCAGCUCGCCAAGAGCUUUACACAACCAGCUCCCAGCUAUUGAGGAA